GAUGAACGCUGGCGGCGUGCCUAAUACAUGCAAGUCGAGCGACCGGACGAGAAGCUUGCUUCUCUGAUGUUAGCGGCGGACGGGUGAGUAACACGUGGAUAACCUACCUAUAAGACUGGGAUAACUUCGGGAAACCGGAGCUAAUACCGGAUAAUAUUUUGAACCGCAUGGUUCAAAAGUGAACGACGGUCUUGCUGUCACUUAUAGAUGGAUCCGCGCUGCAUUAGCUAGUUGGUAAGGUAACGGCUUACCAAGGCAACGAUGCAUAGCCGACCUGAGAGGGUGAUCGGCCACACUGGAACUGAGACACGGUCCAGACUCCUACGGGAGGCAGCAGUAGGGAAUCUUCCGCAAUGGGCGAAAGCCUGACGGAGCAACGCCGCGUGAGUGAUGAAGGUCUUCGGAUCGUAAAACUCUGUUAUUAGGGAAGAACAUAUGUGUAAGUAACUGUGCACAUCUUGACGGUACCUAAUCAGAAAGCCACGGCUAACUACGUG
RNAcentral lists this ribosomal RNA (497 nucleotides) under uncultured bacterium. RNAcentral's name for it is "partial 16S ribosomal RNA". It matches the Rfam family "Bacterial small subunit ribosomal RNA", at positions 28 to 507 of the family's 1533-position model. The record is from RNAcentral.